RNAcentral lists this ribosomal RNA (497 nucleotides) under uncultured bacterium. RNAcentral's name for it is "partial 16S ribosomal RNA". It matches the Rfam family "Bacterial small subunit ribosomal RNA", at positions 28 to 507 of the family's 1533-position model. The record is from RNAcentral.
GAUGAACGCUGGCGGCGUGCCUAAUACAUGCAAGUCGAGCGAACAGACGAGGAGCUUGCUCCUCUGACGUUAGCGGCGGACGGGUGAGUAACACGUGGAUAACCUACCUAUAAGACUGGGAUAACUUCGGGAAACCGGAGCUCAUACCGGAUAAUAUAUUGAACCGCAUGGUUCAAUAGUGAAAGACGGUUUUGCUGUCACUUAUAGAUGGAUCCGCGCCGCAUUAGCUAGUUGGUAAGGUAACGGCUUACCAAGGCAACGAUGCGUAGCCGACCUGAGAGGGUGAUCGGCCACACUGGAACUGAGACACGGUCCAGACUCCUACGGGAGGCAGCAGUAGGGAAUCUUCCGCAAUGGGCGAAAGCCUGACGGAGCAACGCCGCGUGAGUGAUGAAGGUCUUCGGAUCGUAAAACUCUGUUAUUAGGGAAGAACAAAUGUGUAAGUACCUAUGCACGUCUUGACGGUACCUAAUCAGAAAGCCACGGCUAACUACGUG